Molecule: ribosomal RNA, 562 nt
Filed under: Bacillus pumilus
Lineage: Bacteria; Bacillati; Bacillota; Bacilli; Caryophanales; Bacillaceae
Description: bacterial SSU rRNA
Rfam family: Bacterial small subunit ribosomal RNA
Source: RNAcentral
CACUGGGACUGAGACACGGCCCAGACUCCUACGGGAGGCAGCAGUAGGGAAUCUUCCGCAAUGGACGAAAGUCUGACGGAGCAACGCCGCGUGAGUGAUGAAGGUUUUCGGAUCGUAAAGCUCUGUUGUUAGGGAAGAACAAGUGCGAGAGUAACUGCUCGCACCUUGACGGUACCUAACCAGAAAGCCACGGCUAACUACGUGCCAGCAGCCGCGGUAAUACGUAGGUGGCAAGCGUUGUCCGGAAUUAUUGGGCGUAAAGGGCUCGCAGGCGGUUUCUUAAGUCUGAUGUGAAAGCCCCCGGCUCAACCGGGGAGGGUCAUUGGAAACUGGGAAACUUGAGUGCAGAAGAGGAGAGUGGAAUUCCACGUGUAGCGGUGAAAUGCGUAGAGAUGUGGAGGAACACCAGUGGCGAAGGCGACUCUCUGGUCUGUAACUGACGCUGAGGAGCGAAAGCGUGGGGAGCGAACAGGAUUAGAUACCCUGGUAGUCCACGCCGUAAACGAUGAGUGCUAAGUGUUAGGGGGUUUCCGCCCCUUAGUGCUGCAGCUAACGCAUUAAG